This 69-nucleotide transfer RNA is filed under the name Caudoviricetes sp. Its description in RNAcentral is "tRNA-Arg". It matches the Rfam family "tRNA", at positions 9 to 71 of the family's 71-position model. Rfam says of the family: Transfer RNA (tRNA) molecules are approximately 80 nucleotides in length. Their secondary structure includes four short double-helical elements and three loops (D, anti-codon, and T loops). Lineage: Duplodnaviria; Heunggongvirae; Uroviricota; Caudoviricetes. The record is from RNAcentral.
GAUAUAAUCGGAAGAUAUAUUAGAUUCCGAUUCUGAAGGCCGGGGGUUCGAAUCCCUCCGGGCGGGCCA